This 23-nucleotide non-coding RNA is filed under the name Arabidopsis thaliana (thale cress). Lineage: Eukaryota; Viridiplantae; Streptophyta; Magnoliopsida; Brassicales; Brassicaceae. The record is from RNAcentral.
UAAACUUUACUUUCUUGUGGUCU